Molecule: ribosomal RNA, 1372 nt
Filed under: uncultured bacterium
Lineage: Bacteria
Description: bacterial SSU rRNA
Rfam family: Bacterial small subunit ribosomal RNA
Source: RNAcentral
GAUGAACGCUGGCGGCGUGCCUAAUACAUGCAAGUCGAGCGAACGGACGAGAAGCUUGCUUCUCUGACGUUAGCGGCGGACGGGUGAGUAACACGUGGAUAACCUACCUAUAAGACUGGGAUAACUUCGGGAAACCGGAGCUAAUACCGGAUAAUAUUUUGAACCGCAUGGUUCAAAAGUGAAAGACGGUCUUGCUGUCACCUAUAGAUGGAUCCGCGCUGCAUUAGCUAGUUGGUAAGGUAACGGCUUACCAAGGCAACGAUGCAUAGCCGACCUGAGAGGGUGAUCGGCCACACUGGAACUGAGACACGGUCCAGACUCCUACGGGAGGCAGCAGUAGGGAAUCUUCCGCAAUGGGCGAAAGCCUGACGGAGCAACGCCGCGUGAGUGAUGAAGGUCUUCGGAUCGUAAAACUCUGUUAUUAGGGAAGAACAUAUGUGUAAGUAACUGUGCACAUCUUGACGGUACCUAAUCAGAAAGCCACGGCUAACUACGUGCCAGCAGCCGCGGUAAUACGUAGGUGGCAAGCGUUAUCCGGAAUUAUUGGGCGUAAAGCGCGCGUAGGCGGUUUUUUAAGUCUGAUGUGAAAGCCCACGGCUCAACCGUGGAGGGUCAUUGGAAACUGGAAAACUUGAGUGCAGAAGAGGAAAGUGGAAUUCCAUGUGUAGCGGUGAAAUGCGCAGAGAUAUGGAGGAACACCAGUGGCGAAGGCGACUUUCUGGUCUGUAACUGACGCUGAUGUGCGAAAGCGUGGGGAUCAAACAGGAUUAGAUACCCUGGUAGUCCACGCCGUAAACGAUGAGUGCUAAGUGUUAGGGGGUUUCCGCCCCUUAGUGCUGCAGCUAACGCAUUAAGCACUCCGCCUGGGGAGUACGACCGCAAGGUUGAAACUCAAAGGAAUUGACGGGGACCCGCACAAGCGGUGGAGCAUGUGGUUUAAUUCGAAGCAACGCGAAGAACCUUACCAAAUCUUGACAUCCUUUGACAACUCUAGAGAUAGAGCCUUCCCCUUCGGGGGACAAAGUGACAGGUGGUGCAUGGUUGUCGUCAGCUCGUGUCGUGAGAUGUUGGGUUAAGUCCCGCAACGAGCGCAACCCUUAAGCUUAGUUGCCAUCAUUAAGUUGGGCACUCUAAGUUGACUGCCGGUGACAAACCGGAGGAAGGUGGGGAUGACGUCAAAUCAUCAUGCCCCUUAUGAUUUGGGCUACACACGUGCUACAAUGGACAAUACAAAGGGCAGCGAAACCGCGAGGUCAAGCAAAUCCCAUAAAGUUGUUCUCAGUUCGGAUUGUAGUCUGCAACUCGACUACAUGAAGCUGGAAUCGCUAGUAAUCGUAGAUCAGCAUGCUACGGUGAAUACGUUCCCGGGUCU